RNAcentral lists this ribosomal RNA (468 nucleotides) under uncultured bacterium. RNAcentral's name for it is "partial 16S ribosomal RNA". It matches the Rfam family "Bacterial small subunit ribosomal RNA", at positions 28 to 507 of the family's 1533-position model. The record is from RNAcentral.
GACGAACGCUGGCGGCGUGCUUAACACAUGCAAGUCGAACGGAAAGGCCCUGCUUUUGUGGGGUGCUCGAGUGGCGAACGGGUGAGUAACACGUGAGUAUCCUGCCCUUGACUUUGGGAUAACUUCAGGAAACUGGGGCUAAUACCGGAUAGGAGCUCCUGCUGCCUGUUGGGGGUUGGAAAGUUUCGGCGGUUGGGGAUGGACUCGCGGCUUAUCAGCUUGUUGGUGGGGUAGUGGCUUACCAAGGCUUUGACGGGUAGCCGGCCUGAGAGGGUGACCGGCCACAUUGGGACUGAGAUACGGACCAGACUCCUACGGGAGGCAGCAGUGGGGAAUAUUGCACAAUGGGGGGAAGCCUGAUGCAGCAACGCCGCGUGCGGGAUGACGGCCUUCGGGUUGUAAACCGCUUUGGACGGUGACGAAGCGUGAGUGACGGUAAUGGGUAAAGAAGCACCGGCUAACUACGUG